RNAcentral lists this ribosomal RNA (368 nucleotides) under Enterobacter sp. RNAcentral's name for it is "bacterial SSU rRNA". It matches the Rfam family "Bacterial small subunit ribosomal RNA", at positions 9 to 375 of the family's 1533-position model. The record is from RNAcentral. Lineage: Bacteria; Pseudomonadati; Pseudomonadota; Gammaproteobacteria; Enterobacterales; Enterobacteriaceae.
GAGUUUGAUCAUGGCUCAGAUUGAACGCUGGCGGCAGGCCUAACACAUGCAAGUCGAACGGUAGCACAGAGAGCUUGCUCUCGGGUGACGAGUGGCGGACGGGUGAGUAAUGUCUGGGAAACUGCCUGAUGGAGGGGGAUAACUACUGGAAACGGUAGCUAAUACCGCAUAACGUCGCAAGACCAAAGAGGGGGACCUUCGGGCCUCUUGCCAUCAGAUGUGCCCAGAUGGGAUUAGCUAGUAGGUGGGGUAACGGCUCACCUAGGCGACGAUCCCUAGCUGGUCUGAGAGGAUGACCAGCCACACUGGAACUGAGACACGGUCCAGACUCCUACGGGAGGCAGCAGUGGGGAAUAUUGCACAAUGGG